AACGAACGCUGGCGGCAGGCUAAACACAUGCAAGUCGAACGCCCCGCAAGGGGAGUGGCAGACGGGUGAGUAACGCGUGGGAACAUACCCUUUUCUACGGAAUAGCUCUGGGAAACUGGUAUUAAUACCGUAUAAGCCCUACGGGGGAAAGAUUUAUCGGGGAAGGAUUGGCCCGCGUGGGAUUAGCUAGUUGGUGGGGUAAAGGCCUACCAAGGCGACGAUCCAUAGCUGGUCUGAGAGGAUGAUCAGCCACAUUGGGACUGAGACACGACCCAAACUCCUGCGGGAGGCAGCAGUGGGGAAUAUGGGACAAUGAGCGCAAGCCUGAUCCAGCCAUGCCGCGUGAGUGAUGAAGGCCUUAGGGUUGUAAAGCUCUUUCACCGAUGAAGAUAAUGACGGUAGUCGGAGAAGAAGCCCCGGCUAACUUCGUG
RNAcentral lists this ribosomal RNA (431 nucleotides) under uncultured bacterium. RNAcentral describes it as "partial 16S ribosomal RNA". It matches the Rfam family "Bacterial small subunit ribosomal RNA", at positions 29 to 507 of the family's 1533-position model. The record is from RNAcentral.